ACACCUUUGUACAUCGUUUCCCAGUUUUAAGGCCGAUUUGUACAUCUUUUCCCAAUUUUUUUUUUAUAGCUUCAAGAAAUAAACUUUAUCGAUUCCUCUUGAUUUUGUCGGUUAAGAACAAAUCACAAUGCUAAAUGUUUAUCUGUUUGUGGAAAACGAAAUUACCUUGCACAGAGUUUCAAUCAAAUCAAUGGAAGGUUGUAUCUUUUCCUUCAAUCAUAAUCGAUAAGAUCGGGAAUAUACAUUCAAAUCGUACAUAGCUUUGUUAGAGUAUGUAAAUCGGCCGUGAGACAAUGUCAAUAUCACUUUGCAAGAAAGGAUAAUCGAAAGCAAAAUGGAAAAAAAAGGAUUUCAUUUCCUGCAUAUCUACGAUGAGAAGGGUAAUCUUGAAAACUAAUUUCUUAUGUUUCACUUUAAUCUUUUAACAUUUUAUCUGUUCUGAUUGCCAAUAAUCGUGAAAACCAAUUGGUACUGAGUAUAUGUGAUCAUAAUCGAGAUUGUAUUGGUAAUAUAUUUCAGAGCGUUUCACAUUAAACAUAAAGAUUGAAGAUUCUGGAAACAAUUUCAUUGUUUAGAUGCUUCUUUGGUAUACUAACCAUGUUAGCAAGAACUAUAUUGACUAUUUUGUUUUGGCUAUUAAAACCUAUGUUACAUGGAAACGGAAGCGGGUACGCGGAAGCGGAAGCGUAAGGAAGCGCGGAAACGAGAUUUUUUGAAAAAUUAGGAAGCGAACGGAAGCGUGAUUUCAAAACGGAAUCAUAAGCUUCCAACGUGUUUUUAAAAAGAAUAUUUUGGAAGCGUUCUGGAAGCGAGAUUCCGUAAGCUUCCACAAGGUUCCGAUUCCGAUUCCGGUUCCGAAGCGGGAAGCGGACGUCCGAUGAAGCUUCCGUGCAACGUAGAUUAAAACACAAACCAGAAAAGUAUCUCAAUACUGCAAAUUGGUCAUAUGGAAUGUAAAAAGUAGAUAGAAUUUCACAUAAGCUUAUGUUAAAAACACAUCGAAUAUUGGAAAGCAAAAUCAAAAUCUGAAAGCACAAAUUUUAAAACAAAAAUGCGAUAAAAUGAAAGCCCAUAUCGUCCUCCUCGUCCCUUCGAAUGCUUCUUGCAAGUCAUUAGUAAGCAUUUGCUGGAAUCCUGCAAAGAAUGAUCAAAUAUCGAUGAAUACUGCAUAUUACUCAGGUUUAAAAUUGAUGAAUAUCUUCGAGUCACCUUCUUCGAGGAAUGAUUCAAAUAUCGGAACCACAUCCUCAUUAACUGUUGCAUGAAUCGUAUAACCCUGCAGCACAUAUAAGUAAAACCAUAUAAAUACCAUACUAUUUGAGUAUCAAACGCAUAAUAAUAAUAAUUCGUUUUUCAGAUCAUCAUCUUGAAAACAACUUACAUUUGAAUCAACUAACACCAUCUCAAUACUCUCGAUAUUGCCUGCGGAGUAUAGUCUCCAUAGACGAAUGAUCUCGACCUUAAUUUUCCACGUAGUUUUCGCAGGAUUCAACUCGAUAAUGUUGUCAAAAUUCCAGCCAUCUUAACGUGGAGUCUACUCUACAUUUUUUUUUUUAGGGAUGGAGACUAAGACCAUCUCCAAUGUAUUUCUCUAUUUUUUCCUCUAUAAUAGAGGAACUCUAUAAUAGAGGUGAGUUUCUCUCCAAUGUAUUCCUCUAUUUUUUCCUCUAAAAAGGAAUAUUCUUGAAAGAUUCUUUUUUUUAUUUUACAUUUUACACCUCUAACUUGUAAAUGUUGAAAAUUAACCCAUUCAUUAUACUUUUUGAAAUUUUUUCAUAAUAUUGCAAAAAUAUUUAAAUUAAACAUUUUAUUACAAAAAUACAUUAGACAAAAAAAAAAAAACAAAGUACCAUUAUCUAACAAUCAUUAUUACUAAAUUUUUCCCAUAAAUGAUCAAUUAAUGCAUUACAAAGUGAGAAAUGAGCUUCUUUAUCUUUGAUUUUUCUGAAUCGACUUAGAAACUCUUGGAAUCAGUUAUCUUCAUUAUCUGGUAUUUGGACUUCCGGAGGUGGAGCUUCUCUUCCAAUUCCAAUCGGUGCAUCGAGAUCACGCUCAUCCUCAAUAAUCAUAUUAUGUAAAAUUAUACAUGUAGUCAUUAUAUCAUGUAGUACUUUUUUUUUCCAAAAACGUACCGGUCCUUUCACAAUCGCAAAACGUGAUUGUAAAACUCCGAAUGCACGUUCUACAUCUUUUCUACAUGCUUCUUGUUGUGCUGCAAAAUAUUUUUUCUUUGGACCUACUGGCUCAUGAAUAGUUUGCACUAUGGUUGACCAUUUCGGAUAUAUACCAUCGGCCAAGUAAUAACCCAUAUUAAUAUGUUGUAUUGAUUAAUAUUUAAAUAAAAAGUCUUUGACUUUUAAAUAAAAUAAUAAUUUUUUAUUUUAUUUUAAUUAUAAUUGACUUUUAAAUAAAUAAUAUUUUUUUAUUUUAAUUAUAAUUAUAGUUAUAAAAAUUAAUAAUUAGUACGUAACCAAAAAGGUGUGAUUUUAUAUGUAAGAAUUGUAUUUCUUCAUACAUAAGUAUUUUAGUUACAAUCAUAAAAUAUUAGAGGACUAUUUUGUAAAUAAAAAAGUUUGCAUCUAUUAUAGAGGAAUGCUAUUUUUUCCCCUAAAUAUAGAGGAAAAAAUAGCAAUCUCUAUUUUAGGGGAAGAAAUAGGGGUGGAUUGGAGCUGAUUUUACUCUAUUAUAGCAUUUAGAGGCAAAUAUGGGAAAGAGUUGGAGAUGCUCUAAGAGAAGUGUGGGUAAAUAUAUAUUUAAUAUCCUCUUAACAUUAGGUUAGAAUAGUUUAGGCUUGUAAAUUAACAAAGAGCAUAGUAAUGGUAAAUUGGCUUGUGUUAGAUUUACGGCCUAUCAAAAUAAGAAAACUUUAAUAGAAAAUUAACUCUUUUGUACAAAUAAACGCUUACUUAUGAAGGCAAAUAAAUUCGCUAAAUAUUUUCUACCUCUAGAACGGACAAUGGUUCUUUUUUUGUUUCUCAUAUUAACAUCUCAUCCUUAAUGUAUGUUCCUUUUCUAACUCGAAUUAAUUUCGAUGGAAGCCUUGGUGCAAAUGUAUUCUUGUAUUAAAUACAAAAUUAACUUUUUUAACACAUACAUGAUCACAACCCCUUCUGUAUUUCCUUAUCUAACUCAUAAUAAAUUAAGAUUCACACGAAUUGACGGUUUGAUUCAUUGUAUUAAAUAGACAAAUUAACUUGACGGUUUGAUUCGAUUAAAACACGAUUAAAAUUUCAUAAGAUUCACACGAACUGUAUUCCAUGACGGUUUGGUUCAAUAUAGAUGAAUACCACAGAUAACCAACUGUUAUCGAAACUAAAAUUAACAUUUCAUAUUGGAGGGACACUAAACUUAGACACCAUUUGUUUAAAACUGAAUAUAUUAUUCAUUGAGAUUUGAAUACUGAAAGAAGUCAAGCAAACCAAAACAAAACAAAAUAAGAUGUUUCCUCUGCCAACUUCCACAUUAUUAAACAAAAUAAGAUAAUGAAAGGACUGUAACAUUCUGUUCAGACGACUAACAUGUAUGAUUAAGAUCUUCUAAGAAUGUGAAUUGCAAAACUGAGAGAGCCCUAAUACUGUAAUUUUGUUUAUAAACGGAGAUGCAAGAGUAGACCAUCAAAGAUAUUUAGUAAUGGAAAGCGACUGUUGCUAUGAUGUAUGUUAGUCGUUCAAUACAGAUAUCGGUGUGUUAGUCAUUCAAUACAGAAUUCUAAAUGUCUUAUGACCCUCAAAGACCAUUUUAAUGCGACUGAUGCUAUGAUAUUUAGUAAUGGAAAUAUUUAGUAAUUGAAAUAUGCCACCAACGUUAUAUUUUAAAACUAUGGUUUAUAUAAGGGGCUCUAGAAUUCUUUUAAAUAAGAUUUAGAAGGUAUACACAACUGCCACAUAUGAUGAUUUUUUUUUUAAUUAAUACAAACUUAAGGUUCUAAUUUUUUUAAAGAUUCUCAAUUAAUAUAUAGAGGAUAUUAGAUUUGAACGCUAACCUAUGAAUAGAGCUUGCUAGUGAUUUUCUUCAAAAUAUUAUUCUUAAAUAUGUAUAAAAAAUGAAACUAAUUUUUACAGAUGUCCAUAUUUUUAAAUUGAUAUUUAUGUAAUUCACCGAAUUCAGAGAAGAAGUUAAAAAAACAAAACUCGUAUCAGUGAAAUAUAAACGAGAACGAAAACACAAUUUUAUAGAGGUACAAAAUAAAAUCAUUUAUGGAGAAUGAAUAGUAAACAAAUCGAGAAGCGUAAAUCUAAUCCUCUUUCGUCAUUUUAUAAUUGAUGUUGUCUAUCUGGUUUUAGUGAUUUGUGUCAGACGCAAAACUUAAUUUUUUUUUGUGCAUAUAAUAAAUUUUAAAAAUAAUUAAAAUGAGGUAUAAUAAGUUGACUUUUCAACAAACCAACAUUGUCAAUAAAAAUUGCUUGCAAAAUGUUAAACUAUUUAAUGAACAAACAUUGAUAUAAAAAAUUCACUCCGCACGUACACCCCAAGAUAUCAUCUAAAUUUAGAACAUAAUUCAAUUAACUUUUGUGAAAUGUAUAAAUAUUGAAACAGUCCAAAACCAAUGUCUCCUUUCAUACCAAGAAACUAAGGUUGCCAUUGGUUUACCACGACAAACUCACUAACACUAUUCGAUUUUGAUUGCUCAUUCUUUAUUCUACCAGACCAUUGUUUUCUCAAAAUCUUGAUUGUGUUCUUUGUGCUAGCGUGUGUUGUGAGCAAGUUUUACGUUUGCGUUUGCUGAGUGGGUUACCAACAUUGCGACAAGAAAUUGAAUUAGGACAAGUUUCUUCCAACAUAAUCGGGCAAAAAGUCUUUAUAGCAAAGACCCAAAAAUAAUACAUAAUAUUUAAAAAAAAAACGCAAAUGAUGAAUAUCACUACAAGUG
This is a long non-coding RNA of Brassica napus (rape), 4870 nucleotides long. RefSeq lists it as uncharacterized. The record is from RefSeq and is a predicted model, not a curated record. The transcript is spliced from 3 exons. Lineage: Eukaryota; Viridiplantae; Streptophyta; Magnoliopsida; Brassicales; Brassicaceae.